This 777-nucleotide ribosomal RNA is filed under the name uncultured Bacilli bacterium. Its description in RNAcentral is "bacterial SSU rRNA". It matches the Rfam family "Bacterial small subunit ribosomal RNA", at positions 28 to 776 of the family's 1533-position model. Lineage: Bacteria; Bacillati; Bacillota; Bacilli. The record is from RNAcentral.
GACGAACGCUGGCGGCGUGCCUAAUACAUGCAAGUCGAACGCUUCUUUUUCCACCGGAGCUUGCUCCACCGGAAAAAGAGGAGUGGCGAACGGGUGAGUAACACGUGGGUAACCUGCCCAUCAGAAGGGGAUAACACUUGGAAACAGGUGCUAAUACCGUAUAACAAUCGAAACCGCAUGGUUUUGAUUUGAAAGGCGCUUUCGGGUGUCGCUGAUGGAUGGACCCGCGGUGCAUUAGCUAGUUGGUGAGGUAACGGCUCACCAAGGCCACGAUGCAUAGCCGACCUGAGAGGGUGAUCGGCCACAUUGGGACUGAGACACGGCCCAAACUCCUACGGGAGGCAGCAGUAGGGAAUCUUCGGCAAUGGACGAAAGUCUGACCGAGCAACGCCGCGUGAGUGAAGAAGGUUUUCGGAUCGUAAAACUCUGUUGUUAGAGAAGAACAAGGAUGAGAGUAACUGUUCAUCCCUUGACGGUAUCUAACCAGAAAGCCACGGCUAACUACGUGCCAGCAGCCGCGGUAAUACGUAGGUGGCAAGCGUUGUCCGGAUUUAUUGGGCGUAAAGCGAGCGCAGGCGGUUUCUUAAGUCUGAUGUGAAAGCCCCCGGCUCAACCGGGGAGGGUCAUUGGAAACUGGGAGACUUGAGUGCAGAAGAGGAGAGUGGAAUUCCAUGUGUAGCGGUGAAAUGCGUAGAUAUAUGGAGGAACACCAGUGGCGAAGGCGGCUCUCUGGUCUGUAACUGACGCUGAGGCUCGAAAGCGUGGGGAGCAAACAGG